RNAcentral lists this ribosomal RNA (490 nucleotides) under uncultured bacterium. Its description in RNAcentral is "partial 16S ribosomal RNA". It matches the Rfam family "Bacterial small subunit ribosomal RNA", at positions 30 to 507 of the family's 1533-position model. The record is from RNAcentral.
AUUGAACGCUGGCGGCAUGCUUUACACAUGCAAGUCGGACGGCAGCACAGAGAAGCUUGCUUCUUGGGUGGCGAGUGGCGAACGGGUGAGUAAUAUAUCGGAACGUACCGAGUAAUGGGGGAUAACUAAUCGAAAGAUUAGCUAAUACCGCAUAUUCUCUGAGGAGGAAAGCAGGGGACCUUCGGGCCUUGCGUUAUUCGAGCGGCCGAUAUCUGAUUAGCUAGUUGGUGGGGUAAAGGCCUACCAAGGCGACGAUCAGUAGCGGGUCUGAGAGGAUGAUCCGCCACACUGGGACUGAGACACGGCCCAGACUCCUACGGGAGGCAGCAGUGGGAAAUUUUGGACAAUGGGCGCAAGCCUGAUCCAGCCAUGCCGCGUGUCUGAAGAAGGCCUUCGGGUUGUAAAGGACUUUUGUCAGGGAAGAAAAGGCUGUUGCUAAUAUCAAUAGCUGAUGACGGUACCUGAAGAAUAAGCACCGGCUAACUACGUG